This 311-nucleotide ribosomal RNA is filed under the name uncultured soil bacterium. RNAcentral describes it as "bacterial SSU rRNA". It matches the Rfam family "Bacterial small subunit ribosomal RNA", at positions 26 to 363 of the family's 1533-position model. The record is from RNAcentral.
AGAACGAACGCUGGCGGCAGGCCUCAAACAUGCAAGUCUAGGGGGUGUAGCAAUACAUCACCGGCGGACGGGUGCGUAACGCGUGGGAAUGUACCUAUUGGUUCGGAACAACUGAGGGAAACUUCAGCUAAUACCGAAUGUGCCCGAAAGGGGAAAGAUUUAUCGCCAAUGGAUCAGCCCGCGUAGGAUUAGCUAGUUGGUGAGGUAAUGGCUCACCAAGGCUCCGAUCCUUAGCUGUUCUGAGAGGAAGAUCAGCCACACUGGGACUGAGACACGGCCCAGACUCCUACGGGAGGCAGCAGUUGGGAAUC